This 74-nucleotide transfer RNA is filed under the name Pneumocystis murina B123. It matches the Rfam family "tRNA". Rfam says of the family: Transfer RNA (tRNA) molecules are approximately 80 nucleotides in length. Their secondary structure includes four short double-helical elements and three loops (D, anti-codon, and T loops). Further hydrogen bonds mediate the characteristic L-shaped molecular structure. tRNAs have two regions of fundamental functional importance: the anti-codon, which is responsible for specific mRNA codon recognition, and the 3' end, to which the tRNAs corresponding amino acid is attached (by aminoacyl-tRNA synthetases). tRNAs cope with the degeneracy of the genetic code in two manners: having more than one tRNA (with a specific anti-codon) for a particular amino acid; and 'wobble' base-pairing, i.e. permitting non-standard base-pairing at the 3rd anti-codon position. The record is from Rfam by way of RNAcentral. Lineage: Eukaryota; Fungi; Ascomycota; Pneumocystomycetes; Pneumocystales; Pneumocystaceae.
GGGUUGGUAGCUCAGUUGGGAUGAGCAUUCCACUGAAGAUGUAAAGGUCCCUUAUUCAAUUCAUAGCCGUCCCG